Molecule: ribosomal RNA, 459 nt
Filed under: uncultured organism
Description: partial 16S ribosomal RNA
Rfam family: Bacterial small subunit ribosomal RNA
Source: RNAcentral
GUACACUCCUACGGGAGGCAGCAGUGGGGAAUAUUGCACAAUGGGCGCAAGCCUGAUGCAGCGACGCCGCGUGGGGGAUGAAGGCCUUCGGGUUGUAAACUCCUUUCGCUAGGGACGAAGCUUUUUUGUGACGGUACCUAGAUAAGAAGCACCGGCUAACUACGUGCCAGCAGCCGCGGUAAUACGUAGGGUGCGAGCGUUGUCCGGAAUUACUGGGCGUAAAGGGCUCGUAGGUGGUUUGUCGCGUCGUCUGUGAAAUUCUGGGGCUUAACUCCGGGCGUGCAGGCGAUACGGGCAUAACUUGAGUGCUGUAGGGGUAACUGGAAUUCCUGGUGUAGCGGUGAAAUGCGCAGAUAUCAGGAGGAACACCGAUGGCGAAGGCAGGUUACUGGGCAGUUACUGACGCUGAGGAGCGAAAGCAUGGGUAGCGAACAGGAUUAGAAACCCUGGUAGUCCCAU